RNAcentral lists this ribosomal RNA (607 nucleotides) under bacterium 17-L049658-122-015-A03. RNAcentral describes it as "bacterial SSU rRNA". It matches the Rfam family "Bacterial small subunit ribosomal RNA", at positions 61 to 682 of the family's 1533-position model. The record is from RNAcentral.
GUCGAACGGAGAGGCCCCGCUUGCGGGGUACUCGAGUGGCGAACGGGUGAGUAACACGUGGGUGAUCUGCCCUGCACUUCGGGAUAAGCCUGGGAAACUGGGUCUAAUACCGGAUAUGACCUCCCUUUAGUGUGGGGGGUGGAAAGAUUUAUCGGUGCAGGAUGAGCCCGCGGCCUAUCAGCUUGUUGGUGGGGUAAUGGCCUACCAAGGCGUCGACGGGUAGCCGGCCUGAGAGGGUGGACGGCCACAUUGGGACUGAGAUACGGCCCAGACUCCUACGGGAGGCAGCAGUGGGGAAUAUUGCACAAUGGGCGGAAGCCUGAUGCAGCGACGCCGCGUGGGGGAUGACGGCCUUCGGGUUGUAAACCUCUUUCGACAGGGACGAAGUGAAAAUGACGGUACCUGUAUAAGAAGCACCGGCUAACUACGUGCCAGCAGCCGCGGUAAUACGUAGGGUGCGAGCGUUGUCCGGAAUUACUGGGCGUAAAGAGCUCGUAGGUGGUUUGUCACGUCGUCUGUGAAAUUCCGGGGCUUAACCUCGGGCGUGCAGGCGAUACGGGCAAUACUUGAGUGCUGUAGGGGAGACUGGAAUUCCUGGUGUAGCGGU